CGCCGAGCUCCGCGGGGCGGUGGGUGGGAAGAAACCGAGAGGGGAAGGUCUGGGGGUGUGAGGGUGGAGCGGAGCCCGGCCCCGCGAUCCGGCCCGGGUUUUGCUUGCCACCCACUCGCCCGCUCGGCCGCGGAGAAUUCCUUAAUCACAGCGGGCGAGAGCAGAGACUGGGAGCGAAAAAUCCGGGAUCCGGCAACUUUGGGCAGCGCAUGCGCGCCCGCGGCGCUCCAUCCCAAACACACACACAUUUUUCCCCCGGACUUGGAAAGUCACCCAAAGCCGCCCCAAGUGCAGGUACACACUCCAAGUCCAGGCCCCCACGGUCAAGGUGAUCCGGAUCACUCAGGCAAAGCCCCCACCUUGGUUCGAAUCAUGUGGAUAAAUGAUCCAGUUCAAGGAGAGGUCUGAUCCCCGGCCCCCUUCUCCCCAUCUCGCCUCAUAGCGUCAGCCCAAGAAUAACACAGCAGAAGAAAUACUGUCACCUAUGCAAGUAAUGAUCCUGCAGAUGAUUUCAAAACAUGGAAAAAUGUUUAUUACCUGAGUGAAAAAAACAAAACAACACACUGAAGGCCAAGUAUUGUGAACGCCAUGAUAGAAACUAUAUAAAAAUCGCAAAUGCGUGUGGACAAAGCUUGCAAGGUAAAACAGACCUCUCGGAGUGAAGGCAAAGACCCUCUCCAGCCCACCUGCCUUUCCCGCUGUUACGGCGUCAACCCGUCCUGUAGAAGGGGGUCCUGCAACUCUUGUGGUGUGUGUUGGAAUGGACUUCGGACCCCGGCUUCUUGGGAUGCAAAGGAUGAAGUGACGCCCCCACUGCGAGAGAGGAGCCUCUAGGACCCGCUACAAGAGUUUGGGACCAAAGAGAGGAGAAUGGAUCUUGGUACAGGUACC
Long non-coding RNA from Physeter macrocephalus (sperm whale), 891 nucleotides. RefSeq lists it as uncharacterized. The record is from RefSeq and is a predicted model, not a curated record. NCBI's taxonomy places the organism in Eukaryota, Metazoa, Chordata, Mammalia, Artiodactyla, Physeteridae. The transcript is spliced from 5 exons.